GAAUGUUCCAGAUUCAUCCUGGUGACAACAAUAAUCUGUUUGGUCAUAUCUGGGAUUGUUAACAUUUUUCUUAUCUGUUACCGACUUUCAAGAGCAGCUUGUGAACAUUGUAAAGGGAUAGAAAUCACCUCUUCACGAAGCAGACAUGACAACUUGAGUCAGAAUGGAGAUGAUAUUGCUGAAGGUGGAAAUGAUCUGAACUAUGCUGCAUUAUAUUUCUCUGAAGCAAAACCAAAGAGAGGAAGGAGGAAGAAAAAGCUGAAUACUGAAGAAAGUCUGUAUUCUCAGGUCAAAU
Molecule: long non-coding RNA, 295 nt
Organism: Melanotaenia boesemani (Boeseman's rainbowfish)
Lineage: Eukaryota; Metazoa; Chordata; Actinopteri; Atheriniformes; Melanotaeniidae
Exons: 3
Source: RefSeq, a predicted model, not a curated record